RNAcentral lists this ribosomal RNA (301 nucleotides) under uncultured bacterium. RNAcentral's name for it is "partial 16S ribosomal RNA". It matches the Rfam family "Bacterial small subunit ribosomal RNA", at positions 509 to 807 of the family's 1533-position model. The record is from RNAcentral.
CAGUCGCCGCGGUAAAACGAAGGGUGCAAGCGUUAAUCGGAAUUACUGGGCGUAAAGCGUGCGUAGGCGGUUUGUUAAGUCUGUCGUGAAAUCCCCGGGCUCAACCUGGGAAUGGCAAUGGAUACUGGCAAGCUAGAGUGUGUCAGAGGAUGGUGGAAUUCCCGGUGUAGCGGUGAAAUGCGUAGAGAUCGGGAGGAACAUCAGUGGCGAAGGCGGCCAUCUGGGACAACACUGACGCUGAGGCACGAAAGCGUGGGGAGCAAACAGGAUUAGAUACCCGUGUAGUCCCUGUCUCUUAUAC